AGAGACCGAGUCUUCGUCAUUUUCAUGUCUGGGGAUGCAGAGCAGAAGUGAGGCCCUAUAAUCCACAAUCAAGGAAACUUGAUCCGAAAACAAUUAGUGGUCAUUUUAUUGGCUAUUGUAUCGGCUCAAGGGGUUCUAGAUUUUAUUGUCCUUCCCACACUACUAGAAUCAUUGAGUCUGAUCGUGCCAUUUAUUUUGAGGAUGAUCACAAUGGUGGGAGUUCUGAGCCUCGCAGUCUGACAUUGAGAGAAGAACGUGUGGUUUUGCCUAUUCCAUCUUUUCCGACUUCUGCGAUGGGAUUACCACAUAUUGAUGAUUCUUCUGUUGAUCCUGAACUUCAUCAUAAUAUGGAGCCUAUGAUUGUAGAGGAUGAUGGUACUGAUGUGCCAUUGAGGAGAUCAGAGAGGAUCAGGAGACCUGCAAUUUCUGAUGAUUAUGUUGUUUACUUGCAGGAACAUGAUUUUGAUGCUGACUCAUCAUCUGAUCCUAUUACCUUUCAAGAGGCCAUCAGUUGUUCAGAAUCAUCAUCUUGGAUACAUGCGAUGCAUGAUGAGAUGGCAUCUAUGUAUCAUAAUGGGGUUUGGGAUUUAGUUGAGUUGCCAGAUGGAUGCAGACCAAUUGGUUGCAAAUGGGUUUUCAAAACCAAGAGAGAUGCCAGAGGUCAGGUAGAGAGGUACAAGGCCAGGCUUGUGGCUAAGGGUUUCAGUCAAAGAGAAGGCAUUGAUUUCACUGAAACGUACUCUCCUGUUUCUACCAAAGACUCUUUUCGUAUUAUCAUGGCAUUGGUAGCUCAUUUCAAUUUAGAAUUGCAUCAGAUGGAUGUGAAGACAGCUUUUCUCAAUGGGAGCUUGUCUGAAGAUGUGUACAUAGUGCAACCUGAUGGUUUUGUUGAGACUGGUAAAGAAAACAUGGUGUGUAAACUUUGAUCACAAUGGUGGGAGUUCUGAGCCUCGCAGUCUGACAUUGAGAGAAGAACGUGUGGUUUUGCCUAUUCCAUCUUUUCCGACUUCUGCGAUGGGAUUACCACAUAUUGAUGAUUCUUCUGUUGAUCCUGAACUUCAUCAUAAUAUGGAGCCUAUGAUUGUAGAGGAUGAUGGUACUGAUGUGCCAUUGAGGAGAUCAGAGAGGAUCAGGAGACCUGCAAUUUCUGAUGAUUAUGUUGUUUACUUGCAGGAGCAUGAUUUUGAUGCUGACUCUUCAUCUGAUCCUAUUACCUUUCAAGAGGCCAUCAGUUGUUCAGAAUCCUCAUCUUGGAUACAUGCGAUGCAUGAUGAGAUGGCAUCUAUGUAUCAUAAUGGGGUUUGGGAUUUAGUUGAGUUGCCAGAUGGAUACAGGCCAAUUGGUUGCAAAUGGGUUUUCAAAACCAAGAGAGAUGCCAGAGGUCAGGUAGAGAGGUACAAGGCUAGGCUUGUGGCUAAGGGUUUCAGUCAAAGAGAAGGCAUUGAUUACACUGAAACCUACUCUCCUGUUUCUACCAAAGACUCUUUUCGUAUUAUCAUGGCAUUGGUAGCUCAUUUCAAUUUAGAAUUGCAUCAGAUGGAUGUGAAGACAGCUUUUCUCAAUGGAAGCUUAUCUGAAGAUGUGUACAUGGUGCAACCUGAUGGUUUUGUUGAGACUGAUAGAGAAAACAUGGUGUGUAAGCUUAAAAGGUCCAUUUAUGGACUUAAGCAAGCAUCCAGACAGUGGUAUUUGAAAUUUCACGAUAUUGUCACCUCUUAUGGGUUCCAGGAGAAUGCCGUUGAUCAGUGUAUAUACUUGAGAGUCAGUGGGAGCAAGUAUAUCAUUUUGGUGCUUUAUGUGGAUGAUAUCUUGCUCGCUGCUAAUGACACUAAUUUGUUACUUGAGACAAAGCAAAUGUUGUCAUGCAGCUUUGAUAUGAAGGAUCUUGGUGAAGCCCAUUAUGUAUUAGGGAUAGAGAUUCUUCGUGAUAGAUCUAGAGGAAUUCUAGGCUUGUCUCAAAAGACUUACAUUGAUCGUAUUUUGAAAAGGUUCAAUUUGCA
This 2000-nucleotide long non-coding RNA is filed under the name Citrus sinensis (sweet orange). RNAcentral describes it as "long non-coding RNA (CSIN_LNC005315)". The record is from RNAcentral. Lineage: Eukaryota; Viridiplantae; Streptophyta; Magnoliopsida; Sapindales; Rutaceae.